RNAcentral lists this ribosomal RNA (493 nucleotides) under uncultured bacterium. RNAcentral's name for it is "partial 16S ribosomal RNA". It matches the Rfam family "Bacterial small subunit ribosomal RNA", at positions 29 to 507 of the family's 1533-position model. The record is from RNAcentral.
ACGAACGCUGGCGGCGUGCUUAACACAUGCAAGUCGAACGGUGAAGCGCCUUCCUUUUUGGUGGGUGUGGAUGAGUGGCGAACGGGUGAGUAACACGUGAGUAACCUGCCCCCUUCUUCUGGAUAACCGCAUGAAAGUGUGGCUAAUACGGGAUAUUCUGGGUCUGUCGCAUGAUGGGUCUGGGAAAGAUAUUGUUUCGGUGGGGGAUGGGCUCGCGGCCUAUCAGCUUGUUGGUGGGGUGAUGGCCUACCAAGGCGGUGACGGGUAGCCGGCCUGAGAGGGUGGACGGUCACACUGGGACUGAGACACGGCCCAGACUCCUACGGGAGGCAGCAGUGGGGAAUAUUGCACAAUGGGCGCAGGCCUGAUGCAGCGACGCCGCGUGAGGGAUGGAGGCCUUCGGGUUGUGAACCUCUUUCGCCAGUGAAGCAGGCCUGCCUCGUUUGUGGGUGGGUUGACGGUAGCUGGAUAAGAAGCGCCGGCUAACUACGUG